Molecule: unclassified non-coding RNA, 306 nt
Filed under: plant metagenome
Description: partial contains 5.8S ribosomal RNA, internal transcribed spacer 2, and large subunit ribosomal RNA
Rfam family: 5.8S ribosomal RNA (bases 1-105)
Source: RNAcentral
GAAAUGCGAUAAGUAAUGUGAAUUGCAGAAUUCAGUGAAUCAUCGAAUCUUUGAACGCACAUUGCGCCCGCCAGUAUUCUGGCGGGCAUGCCUGUCCGAGCGUCAUUUCAACCAUCAAGCCCCCGGGCUUGUGUUGGGGACCUGCGGCUGCCCGCAGGCCCUGAAAACCAGUGGCGGGCUCGCUGUCACACCGAGCGUAGUAGCAAUCACCUCGCUCAGGGCGUGCUGCGGGUUCCGGCCGUUAAACAGCCUUACAAAACCCAAGGUUGACCUCGGACCAGGUAGGAAGACCCGCUGAACUUAAGC